AACGAACGCUGGCGGCAUGCCUAACACAUGCAAGUCGAACGAGACCUUCGGGUCUAGUGGCGCACGGGUGCGUAACGCGUGGGAACCUGCCCUUAGGUUCGGAAUAACUCCCCGAAAGGGGUGCUAAUACCGGAUAAUGUCUUCGGACCAAAGAUUUAUCGCCUUUGGAUGGGCCGCGUUGGAUUAGCUAGUUGGUAGGGUAAAAGCCUACCAAGGCGACGAUCCAUAGCUGGUCUGAGAGGAUGAUCAGCCACACUGGGACUGAGACACGGCCCAGACUCCUACGGGAGGCAGCAGUGGGGAAUAUUGGACAAUGGGCGAAAGCCUGAUCCAGCAAUGCCGCGUGAGUGAUGAAGGCCUUAGGGUUGUAAAGCUCUUUUACCCGGGAUGAUAAUGACAGUACCGGGAGAAUAAGCUCCGGCUAACUCCGUG
This 432-nucleotide ribosomal RNA is filed under the name uncultured bacterium. Its description in RNAcentral is "partial 16S ribosomal RNA". It matches the Rfam family "Bacterial small subunit ribosomal RNA", at positions 29 to 507 of the family's 1533-position model. The record is from RNAcentral.